UAUUAGAAAGCGAACCGUAUCGCAUUUAGUUUCGACCUAAACUUUGGCUAAGGCCUCUAAUAA
RNAcentral lists this transfer RNA (63 nucleotides) under Carcinus maenas (green crab). RNAcentral's name for it is "tRNA-Arg". The record is from RNAcentral. Lineage: Eukaryota; Metazoa; Arthropoda; Malacostraca; Decapoda; Carcinidae.